AGAGUUUGAUCCUGGCUCAGAUUGAACGCUGGCGGCAUGCCUUACACAUGCAAGUCGAACGGCAGCACGGGAGCAAUCCUGGUGGCGAGUGGCGAACGGGUGAGUAAAGCAUCGGAACGUGCCCAGUCGUGGGGGAUAACGUAGCGAAAGCUACGCUAAUACCGCAUACGAUCUGUGGAUGAAAGCGGGGGACCGUAAGGCCUCGCGCGAUUGGAGCGGCCGAUGUCAGAUUAGGUAGUUGGUGGGGUAAAGGCUCACCAAGCCGACGAUCUGUAGCUGGUCUGAGAGGACGACCAGCCACACUGGGACUGAGACACGGCCCAGACUCCUACGGGAGGCAGCAGUGGGGAAUUUUGGACAAUGGGCGCAAGCCUGAUCCAGCAAUGCCGCGUGCAGGAUGAAGGCCUUCGGGUUGUAAACUGCUUUUGUACGGAGCGAAAAGGCUUCCACUAAUACUGGGGGCUCAUGACGGUACCGUAAGAAUAAGCACCGGCUAACUACGUGCCAGCAGCCGCGGUAAUACGUAGGGUGCAAGCGUUAAUCGGAAUUACUGGGCGUAAAGCGUGCGCAGGCGGUCUUGUAAGACAGGUGUGAAAUCCCCGGGCUUAACCUGGGAACUGCACUUGUGACUGCAAGGCUGGAGUACGGCAGAGGGGGAUGGAAUUCCGCGUGUAGCAGUGAAAUGCGUAGAUAUGCGGAGGAACACCGAUGGCGAAGGCAAUCCCCUGGGCCUGUACUGACGCUCAUGCACGAAAGCGUGGGGAGCAAACAGGAUUAGAUACCCUGUAGUCCACGCCCUA
RNAcentral lists this ribosomal RNA (800 nucleotides) under uncultured bacterium. Its description in RNAcentral is "bacterial SSU rRNA". It matches the Rfam family "Bacterial small subunit ribosomal RNA", at positions 8 to 804 of the family's 1533-position model. The record is from RNAcentral.